Molecule: ribosomal RNA, 730 nt
Filed under: uncultured bacterium
Lineage: Bacteria
Description: bacterial SSU rRNA
Rfam family: Bacterial small subunit ribosomal RNA
Source: RNAcentral
AACAGGAUUAGAUACCCUGGUAGUCCACGCCGUAAACGAUGUCGACUUGGAGGUUGUGCCCUUGAGGCGUGGCUUCCGGAGCUAACGCGUUAAGUCGACCGCCUGGGGAGUACGGCCGCAAGGUUAAAACUCAAAUGAAUUGACGGGGGCCCGCACAAGCGGUGGAGCAUGUGGUUUAAUUCGAUGCAACGCGAAGAACCUUACCUACUCUUGACAUCCAGAGAACUUAGCAGAGAUGCUUUGGUGCCUUCGGGAGCUCUGAGACAGGUGCUGCAUGGCUGUCGUCAGCUCGUGUUGUGAAAUGUUGGGUUAAGUCCCGCAACGAGCGCAACCCUUAUCCUUUGUUGCCAGCGGUCCGGCCGGGAACUCAAAGGAGACUGCCAGUGAUAAACUGGAGGAAGGUGGGGAUGACGUCAAGUCAUCAUGGCCCUUACGAGUAGGGCUACACACGUGCUACAAUGGCAUAUACAAAGAGAAGCGACCUCGCGAGAGCAAGCGGACCUCAUAAAGUAUGUCGUAGUCCGGAUUGGAGUCUGCAACUCGACUCCAUGAAGUCGGAAUCGCUAGUAAUCGUGGAUCAGAAUGCCACGGUGAAUACGUUCCCGGGCCUUGUACACACCGCCCGUCACACCAUGGGAGUGGGUUGCAAAAGAAGUAGGUAGCUUAACCUUCGGGAGGGCGCUUACCACUUUGUGAUUCAUGACUGGGGUGAAGUCGUAACAAGGUAACC